Molecule: ribosomal RNA, 1238 nt
Filed under: uncultured bacterium
Lineage: Bacteria
Description: partial 16S ribosomal RNA
Rfam family: Bacterial small subunit ribosomal RNA
Source: RNAcentral
AGUCGAGCGGAAACGAUCCUAGCUUGCUAGGAGGCGUCGAGCGGCGGACGGGUGAGUAACACGUGAGAAUCUGCCCAUUAGAGGGGGAUAACCUGGGGAAACCCAGGCUAAUACCGCAUAAUCCCUACGGGGGAAAGCAGGGGAUCUUCGGACCUUGUGCUGAUGGAUGAGCUCGCGUCGGAUUAGCUUGUUGGUGAGGUAAUGGCUCACCAAGGCGACGAUCCGUAGCUGGUCUUAGAGGAUGAUCAGCCACACCGGGACUGAGACACGGCCCGGACUCCUACGGGAGGCAGCAGUGGGGAAUCUUGGACAAUGGGGGCAACCCUGAUCCAGCCAUGCCGCGUGUGUGAAGAAGGCCUUCGGGUUGUAAAGCACUUUCAGUAGGGAGGAAGGCUUAUCCUUAAUACGGAUGAGUACUUGACGUUACCUACAGAAGAAGCACCGGCUAAUUUCGUGCCAGCAGCCGCGGUAAUACGAAAGGUGCGAGCGUUAAUCGGAAUUACUGGGCGUAAAGCGCGCGUAGGCGGUUUGCUAAGUCAGAUGUGAAAGCCCCGGGGCUCAACCCCGGAACUGCCUCCAAAACUAUCGGUCUAGAGUUCGAGAGAGGUGAGUGGAAUUCCGAGUGUAGAGGUGAAAUUCGUAGAUAUUCGGAGGAACACCAGUGGCGAAGGCGGCUCACUGGCUCGAUACUGACGCUGAGGUGCGAAAGUGUGGGGGAGCAAACAGGAUUAGAUACCCUGGUAGUCCACACCGUAAACGAUGAAUGCCAGUCGUCGGGUAGCAUGCUAUUCGGUGACACACCUAACGGAUUAAGCAUUCCGCCUGGGGAGUACGGUCGCAAGAUUAAAACUCAAAGGAAUUGACGGGGGCCCGCACAAGCGGUGGAGCAUGUGGUUUAUUCGAAGCAACGCGCAGAACCUUACCAACCCUUGACAUCCUCGGACCGCCAGAGAGAUCUGGUUUUCACUUCGUGACCGAGUGACAGGUGCUGCAUGCUGUCGUCAGCUCGUGUCGUGAGAUGUUCGGUUAAGUCGGCACGAGCGCAACCACAUCUAGUGCAGCAGUUCGCUGGCACUCUAGGAAACUGCCGUGAUAGCGGAGAGGUGAUGACGUCAGUCUCAUGCCUACGUGGCUACACGGCUAAUGCACAAAUGGUUAUCCAAAAGUUCGUCGAUUGGGCCCGCACCGACCUUGAUCGACCCCUGUAAUCCGUUACCCAUGAUACCGCCGGGGAAAAA